GAAAGUGCAUCAGGCUGUGGACGGCGGCAGGUGAGGAAGGGUGGGGGGGGAAAACAAGCAAGCCAAGGAGAGAAGCAGCGUUUGGGGGGGGCGAGGACACUGCACGGCCAGCGGGUGCUGGGGCAAGCACAGACUUGGCCUCAGAGAGGCAGGGCCACCAAUCUCCACUUCUUCUCAGCAAAUGUCACAGCCCCACCCGCACAACCGCACUCUCAGAAAACACAUGUGCACACAGACACACAUGUGCACACACGCAUAUACACAUACACCCAUGGACACACAGACACACGUGCACACACGCACAUAUACAUGUAUACACAUGCACACAGACACGUGCACACACAUACACAUACAUGUACACACAUGCACACAGACACAUGCACACACGCACAUAUACAUGUACACACAUGCAGACACGUGCAUGUACAUACAUGUACACACAUGAUCACGCACACACCCGCACAUAUACAUGUGCACACAUGCACACAGACACGUGCACACACGCAUGUGCACACACGCACACAUGCACAUGUACAUGCACACACAUGCACACACAUGUACACACACAUGCAGGUGCACAAGGUUCUCCACUGUGGAUGUCAAUGCAGGCAUCUCAUCAUGUGAAUCUCAACUCCCAAGGCAGCAAGACACAGGCCCCAGCCCAGCUGUGGGUUAGAGUCUCCAUGCCCGGCAGAUGGAGGCUGCUCCGCCAUGAGAGCUGGGCCCUUGGUGUUGGUUACAUGGUUGUGUACAAUCGUCUAAACUCAUUGUGCAAACAGCCCACAUCUAGCUGAUUCUCCUUCACAGGCAACACUAAACAAACAUCACAGAACUGCCUCACUAGGCUUCUCCAGCAUUUGCCCUCUGAUCUUUAAAGAAAACACAAUCUCUGAACAUCUUUAAAAUCCUCUCAAACCACCCAGGAACGCUGAUGAUUCCGCGCACAAAGUCCUCACACAGGCCUGGAGCCUGGCAGGACCCGCACCUCAGACACAUCACCUCAUCCUCAGGAGCUCCACUUGGCACGUGGCACAGACCAGAUUAGAGCCAGCAGACACCAAAAGUGGCGGGCAUGGCUUUCUUCAGAAUGUGGGCCUGUGCUGCAAGUUUUUAAAGGACAUCCAGAAACAUGGUUUUCUCGGUACGCUGCUUCUGCCUGGCCAUGACUGCAGCUUUCAUUAACGCAUUAGAAAUGAGAAUCCAAUCACUGCAAUUACAGCAUUAAUUCAUGAGGCUUAAGCACUUUUAAUAAUUCAAAGUGAGGGGCUGGGUGCUGUGGCUCUCACCUGUCAUCCCAGCACUCUGAGAGGCCAAGGUGGGAGGACCACCUGAGCCCAGGAGCUUGCAAUCAGCCUAGGCAACCUAGCAAGACCCCAACUCUACAAAGCAACUAAAAUGUAGCUGGAUGUGGGGGCGUGCACCCAUGGUCUCAGCUACUCAAGAGACUGAGGUGGGAAGAUGACUUGAGCCUCGGAGUUUGAGGCUGCAGUGAGCUGUAUUUGCACCACUGCACUCCAGCCUGGGUGACAGAGACCCUGUCUUUAAAAAAAAAAAAAAAAA
RNAcentral lists this long non-coding RNA (1560 nucleotides) under Macaca fascicularis (crab-eating macaque). RNAcentral's name for it is "lncRNA (ENSMFAG00000055223.1)". Lineage: Eukaryota; Metazoa; Chordata; Mammalia; Primates; Cercopithecidae. The record is from RNAcentral.